RNAcentral lists this ribosomal RNA (253 nucleotides) under uncultured bacterium. Its description in RNAcentral is "partial 16S ribosomal RNA". It matches the Rfam family "Bacterial small subunit ribosomal RNA", at positions 524 to 776 of the family's 1533-position model. The record is from RNAcentral.
UACAGAGGGUGCGAGCGUUAAUCGGAAUUACUGGGCGUAAAGCGUGCGUAGAUGGUUAUGUAAGUCGGAUGUGAAAGCCCCGGGCUCAACCUGGGAAUUGCAUUCGAGACUGCAUAGCUAGGAUGCGGAAGAGGGAAGCGGAAUUUCCGGUGUAGCGGUGAAAUGCGUAGAUAUCGGAAGGAACACCAGUGGCGAAAGCGGCUUCCUGGUCCAGCAUCGACGUUCAGGCACGAAAGCGUGGGGAGCAAGCAGG